RNAcentral lists this non-coding RNA (54 nucleotides) under Oxyrrhis marina. The record is from RNAcentral. Lineage: Eukaryota; Dinophyceae; Oxyrrhinales; Oxyrrhinaceae.
GUCGAUGAUCCGAACGUCCCAACGGUGGCCGUGGACUUCAGGGGAGGCUGGGCU